AGUCGAACGGCAGCACGGGGGCAAUCCUGGUGGCGAGUGGCGAACGGGUGAGUAAUACAUCGGAACGUGUCCUGUAGUGGGGGAUAGCCCGGCGAAAGCCGGAUUAAUACCGCAUACGCUCUACGGAGGAAAGGGGGGGAUCUCAGGACCUCCCGCUACAGGGGCGGCCGAUGGCAGAUUAGCUAGUUGGUGGGGUAAAGGCCUACCAAGGCGACGAUCUGUAGCUGGUCUGAGAGGACGACCAGCCACACUGGGACUGAGACACGGCCCAGACUCCUACGGGAGGCAGCAGUGGGGAAUUUUGGACAAUGGGCGAAAGCCUGAUCCAGCAAUGCCGCGUGUGUGAAGAAGGCCUUCGGGUUGUAAAGCACUUUUGUCCGGAAAGAAAACCUCCGCCCUAAUAUGGUGGGGGGAUGACGGUACCGGAAGAAUAAGCACCGGCUAACUACGUGCCAGCAGCCGCGGUAAUACGUAGGGUGCAAGCGUUAAUCGGAAUUACUGGGCGUAAAGCGUGCGCAGGCGGUCCGCUAAGACAGAUGUGAAAUCCCCGGGCUUAACCUGGGAACUGCAUUUGUGACUGGCGGGCUAGAGUAUGGCAGAGGGGGGUAGAAUUCCACGUGUAGCAGUGAAAUGCGUAGAGAUGUGGAGGAAUACCGAUGGCGAAGGCAGCCCCCUGGGCCAAUACUGACGCUCAUGCACGAAAGCGUGGGGAGCAAACAGGAUUAGAUACCCUGGUAGUCCACGCCCUAAACGAUGUCAACUAGUUGUUGGGGAUUCAUUUCCUUAGUAACGUAGCUAACGCGUGAAGUUGACCGCCUGGGGAGUACGGUCGCAAGAUUAAAACUCAAAGGAAUUGACGGGGACCCGCACAAGCGGUGGAUGAUGUGGAUUAAUUCGAUGCAACGCGAAAAACCUUACCUACCCUUGACAUGUAUGGAAUCCUGCUGAGAGGUGGGAGUGCCCGAAAGGGAGCCAUAACACAGGUGCUGCAUGGCUGUCGUCAGCUC
Molecule: ribosomal RNA, 1007 nt
Filed under: Paraburkholderia sediminicola
Lineage: Bacteria; Pseudomonadati; Pseudomonadota; Betaproteobacteria; Burkholderiales; Burkholderiaceae
Description: bacterial SSU rRNA
Rfam family: Bacterial small subunit ribosomal RNA
Source: RNAcentral